This 32198-nucleotide long non-coding RNA is filed under the name Solanum lycopersicum (tomato). RNAcentral's name for it is "long non-coding RNA (SLYC_LNC001153)". Lineage: Eukaryota; Viridiplantae; Streptophyta; Magnoliopsida; Solanales; Solanaceae. The record is from RNAcentral.
ACACAUUCAUGUUAAAGAAUAAACGUUCAUGUAAGAACAAAUAUGUCAACAAUUCAUUUGAAUAAAAGAACUUAUUUUCAUAUACAACAACACACUUACUAAUCAGAUCCAGACAACCCCUGUAGAAAUGACAAAUUAACAACGAAAGGAACAAUACAAUAGAAACAAAAAGGGUAUCGCCUUUUGAAACAUUGAAUGAUACCAAGUGUUGGCAGCUAAUACAUGUCAUCAAGAAUCACUGAGACAGCAAACACAGCCCAGCUAACUUCUUCCUCCCCACGGACCUUCGUGAUACAAUGGUGAAACAAAGAAGUGCAAUGUAUUUGUUUCCGGGAAUUCACUUUGUUUUCUGCUACAACACUUGUCUCUUCCUUCUAUCUACCCCUCUUCUCUUUAUUUUUCUUUUCUUUUUUGCUUUAUAAAUUUAUUUAUUCCUAAUAUAGAUCAUUCAUAAAUGGAGGCUACUUGCGGGAUCACCUGUGUACACCUUCAAAUACAAGGCCGGGAAUGGAUUGUAUUGUAUUCCCCUGAUUAGGAGGACGCCUUGGUGACAUCUUUGGUAGAUCUAUUGUAUUUCAUGUGGCUAUUAACUAGUUGCCCAGACGAUAUAGCUGACAUGAGGGAUAGUUCACCAGCAAGAACCGAACCAGCUACUACUGUAGCCAAGAGCCUUGCAUUUGACCCUGGUGCCUCUCUGUUGGCACCUUUCACUCCUAACAAGUUUAAGCAAGCUGACUGAGAUGCAAGCUGAGUUCCACCUCCAACGGUACCAACCUGUAUCGAAGCAAAUACCAUAAAUAUAACAAGAAAUUGGAAGAUUUCACAACUAGUUUAAACUGAAUUGAGGACAAGAUACUUCUACGAGAUUGUCGUCUAUAUAUAGUCCAAGUGAUCAUAAAUAUAUGUGGUGAAAGACAUUGCUUCGUUGUAAGGUCUCACAGGCUAACACUAAAUUGAGAUAUUUCAAGAAUCCUUUCAUUGUCUUUUUUCUUUCAAGUGGUUCAACUAUUUGAUUGAGAUUUGAAGAAUCCAGACCUGCAUCAUGAUGCAUGCAUGCAGUACCUUACUAUCUCACGACUACAUCAAUUUAAACUGAUCUCGAAAGUGUUAAGUCUGAUUCUUAUACAUAAAACUCAUUAAUCUUGAUGAUUAAAAAGAAGGAACGACAAAGAAAAUGUUAAUUACAUACCUCAAUGGAAGGCAUUGUAACAGAAAUAUGGAGGUCCUUGCCAUCAUUUACAGCCUCCAUCAUAGUGAUGCAGUGCGAGCUCUCUAUGUUCUGAGCUGGAUCCUGACCUGUGGCUAUAAACACAGCUGAGACGAUAUUGCUGGCAUGGGCAUUGAAACCUCCAAGGGCACCAGCCAUGGCAGAGCCAGUAAGAUUUUUAAGCAUGUUCAGCUCCACAAGAGCAGCAACCUCAGUUUUCAAAACUUUCUUCACCACCUCUUCUGUGAUAAUUGCCUCACAAACUACAGACUUUCCUCUGCCCUCGAUCCAAUUAACUGCUGCUGGCUUCUUGUCCGAGCAAAAGUUCCCUGUCACAGUUAUAGAUAACUUUAGGAGACAAUAUUAUCUAAAGUUCAAGAGAUCAAACGAUAGAAAUUUCAUUAUAUCUUAAGCUAUCAUUUUCCAGCCCAUUCGAAACACAUUUAUGAUAACCCCAUACUGCAGUUAUGGUGUUUUAAUAGUCUUUUAACAGACCAUGCAUAGCAGAGAAGUUAAGGAAAAACUAAUACCAGAUAUACCGAUGACAUCCAUGUCGGGAUAUUCAUUCUGAAGGUAAUCAAGAACAUUUUGUACACCUUUGGACACCAUGUUCAUUCCCAUUGCAUCACCAGUGCUACAUACAAAUCUCAUGUAAAGAUUCUUUCCCGCAAUUGCACACUGAAUUCUUUGUAAUCUGGCAAAUCUGCUUGAUCUGCCAUUCAAACACAACCGAUCAGGUAACAACUAUAAACACAUAAUUAUUUGAAACAGAUUAACAGCUAGCAUGUACUUACUGGUUGAAAACGUUAGCAAGUGUCUCAAAUUUUAUGGGAUCUUCAACAAAGAACUUCAACUCUGCUGCCCUUUUGGCUGUGCCGAACCUGACACAUGGUGCUCUGGUCAUCCCAUCACGAAGCAAAAUGCAUGUAGCACCACCAGAAGCAUAGAUAGCCUUGCAACCCCUAUUGGUGCUAGCCACUAAACAUCCUUCUGUGGUUGCCAUGGGCACUGAAAACUCCUUUCCGUUAAGCAACAAUGGCCCUGCUAUUCCCACUGGUAUCUGCACGUACCCAAUUGGCAUCUCACAACACUGCCCAAGAAUAGAUUCAUAGUUAAAUCCUUCCAAUGGUAGCCCUUCUAGAGACUUCCCUGUAAUCCUCUGCAUCACCUCUUUCCUUAUCGAAGCAGCGCGCUUACAAUCACCGAGCUUGGAUUCCAAUGAGUAUGAUGGUAUUUUCCCCUGCACCACGGAUUUAAUUAUCUCUUCGUCUUCCUCAGACGAAGCUGAUGUUAUCAACGGUGCAGGUUUCUCUACCAUAGACAUAGAAGGUUGAGGUGGUGCCAUUGGGGCAAUUUGUCGAGCAGGUGGUGCAGGAACAGCACAACCAAGAGUAGUUGCAGGCCCACAACGACUAUCUUCCUUCAAUAGAAAUUCCUCAUCAUUUUCAUCCCAUGAAUCAUUAUUUCCCCUUGACACAAACGUCUGAACAAACCCAAUCCCAAAGAAACCAAGAAGAUAAAUGACAGAAGCAAUUAACGAAACAAUAGCACCCAAUUCAGAAAGCGUAACGACAUGUAAAGGAGUGGAAUUCCUGAUUUUCUCACGCCACCUUGAUAGAAGAAAAUACAUAACAGAGAAAAACAUGGUGAAAAACAAGCCAUUCGUGAGAUACAAAGGAAGUGGGAGAGCAUCGGAAGCAUCAAUGAGAAGGGUAUUCUUGUCCUCUUGUUGUUGUUGUUGUUUCUUGUGGGGUUUGAGAGGUUUUUCAUCGGCGGCAAAGACCUUAGAUGGAUAAACAGGCUCUUCAGAUCUCCGGCGAACGUCCAUUUUUUCACCGGUAAGUCUGCCGCCGGUGAGGAAAAAGAGGAGAGAAAAAGUGUUGUUUGUGGGAUUGAUGAUUGACAAGUAUAAUUGUUAAAAGAAGAGUGAUGGGAUGUGAGGAGAAGAGAAGAUGUAGGAAAUGUAUUUAUAGAGGAACCCGGUUGCCGCGCUGGACUUUUUUCAUUUUAUAUUUUGAAUGGAGUAUUAUCUUUUACAAUAAUAUACUUUCUUUUUUUUUUAAUUUUUUGAAGUAAAGUUUUAUAUAGUCAAGUUGACUGGUCAAGUGUAAAAUAUUUGGAUACGAACUCGGGCUAUUAUGAAAUAACUCAUACAUUUUGCAUUUGAUAAUUAGGUAAUAAUAGUUGAAAGUAGAUAUUAAAUAUUAAAAUUUGAAAUAUCAGUUUAAUAAUUUGAUAUGAUAAAUUAAAUUUUGAUUUAGUAUAAUAUUCGGUAAUAUCGUAUUGUAAUUAUAUCGGAUUGUAUUAUAAAAAUAAUACUUUUUUUCCAAUUAUUUCUAUUUUCUUUUAUGCAGAGGUACAAUUUAAAAAAAUUAAUAAAUAAAAAGAUAUCAAGAAAAAUAAAUUGAUACAACUAAAAGACAUGUAUUUACAUUUUUUAUAUUUAUUCUUUUAACUUUCUCUUUAAAUUUGUACUAAUGAAUAAUGGACAUGUCGAUACAUGCCUUCAUAAAUAAUUCGGUAUACGAAAAAUAUUAAAUGGUACUAAUAUUUCAUACCAAACUCAGAAUAUUAUGAUUCUAAAAUUGUACUUCCAAAUAUCAUAUUAAAUACUUAAUUACCGAAUACCAAAUACCAAAAAACUGUCCAUCCGAUCUGAUAAUUCAAUUUUCUAUGCCCAGCCCUACACAAUUUUAAAACCUACAAAUUUCAUAAGUACGCAUGCAAUAACUUUUUAUAUUAUUGAGAUGUAAAUUAUAUAAAUUUUGAUCAAUAUUAACUAGAGUAUUUUAUUUUUUUUAAUAUAGUUGGAAUAGGGUACCAUGUGGUGGAAUAGGUAUAUAUCCACGUUAAGAAAAUGGUUAAUUUUGCAUGGCUUGAUAUUUGAGGUUUGGACAUUAAAAAUAGUUAGCAACAUUUCUUAUAGUCAACUGAAGACCACAGUGGAAAAAAGACAAAGGAGGUAUCUCAGCAAUUUCUCACCCAAAAUUGAUUACUUAUUAAUUAAAAUACUACUCCUUUGCUGUUUGCUGGGACACCAAACAAGCUAAAAUCCAAUGUACCUGUCUUCUUUUUAUAUAUAUAUAUAUAUAUAUAUAUAUAUAUAUAUAUAUAUAUAUAUAUAUAUAUAUAUAUAUAUAAUGCAGAAGUAUCUUUGUAGAUUAUAAUUGAAAUUUUAAAAACACACUUUAAAUAAACUAACGUCCUAUUACUCUCUGAAUUUUAUUUUUUUUUGUAAUUUUCUGCACCUUUUUGACUUACGUUGGCAUCCAAAUAUCUCGCAUGCGCCUCAAUUCCGAGUAAUCACAGAAUGCACCACGUAAGACAAAAGGUGUACAAAAUUACAAAAAAAAAUAAAUUGAGAGAGGUAAUAAAACCUUAGUUUAGUUCAGAUGUGUGAAAUUUCGAUUAUAAUUUAGGGAAUGUUAUUUGUAGUUUUGAUGAUUUGACAAACUUAGGGACCUCAUAAAGGUACCGGGUUUUCUACUUGAGUAUUGCAGGUGUCUUCUUUGAAGUAUUGCAGAUGAAACAAACCCAGGGACCUAGUAGAGGUACCAGGCCCUCAUGAUGAUGAGUCAGUCAACUGCCAGCUGGAGACGUACAGAAAGUAGGUGCACACUUCCCGAUGGCGUCAGAAAAGUGUGACCUUUCCAACCAAUGGCAAAGAAGUUUAGGAAAGUGACUUGUCAUAUAAAAGGCACUUUCCUAAACAUUUGUUUUUUAGUUUUUGCAACUUGAUAAAAACUUUUCAAGAACUCUUGCAAAGGCUACACAAAGCAAAGGCAGAAUCAUUCCUAGGACAACAGCAACAUCUGGAGCUUUUCGUCUAGUUGUUUAGGAAUUUAUUCUCUUGUUCUUAAAUUGUAAACCACUCCUAAAUCUAUAAAGGAAUUGGUGUGUUGUGUUAAAAGUCUUGGUUGUCCAGGUGGGAUAGCUUAGUGGGUAGAUUGUUUUUCUACUUUGGCUUGUUGAGCAAUAGAGGUCUAUUGCUUAACGGUAAGAUUGAUAACUCUUUCUUACGUUUGGUGUAAUCGUGUUUCACUUUUGCUUUUGAAGAUUAGUGAAAACGAUGGAAAAUCCUGUGAGACAGGUCGAGGUUUUACUCUCUUAAGCAAUGAGGUUUCCACGUAAAAUCAUUGUGUUGAUUUUACUGCAUUUAACUUUCUGGUAAUUUUCUGAAGUAAAGUAAGGGACCUGGUCCAUUACUAUUAAGUGAAGUCAUACAUUCUAUCAAGUGGUAUCAGAGCGGGCACUACCUAUUUGAUUAACACCAAGGAAGUGAUUUUGUUCUAAAAUGGCAGCUCCACUUAACCUCGAAGAAGGUCAGUCAUCACAUAGACCUCCUCGUUUCAAUGGACAUUUCUACAGUUGGUGGAAAGUUAGAAUGCACGAUUAUCUCAUGGCUGAAGAUAGCGAGUUAUGGGAUAUUAUACUAGAUGGACUCUUUGUUCCAAUGAUGGAAGUAAAGGAUGGAGAAAAGACCAUCACUGUUCCAAAGCCCAAGCAGAAAUAUGAUGAUGCUGACAGGAAAAAGAUAGAAAAGGGCUUCAAAGGUAAAACUCUUAUGGUCUGUGGGAUAGGACCUGAUGAGUACAAUAGAGUGUCAGCCUGUGAGUCUGCUAAAGAAAUCUGGGAUUGCUUGUUGACUACACAUGAAGAAACUGAACAAGUCAAAGAAUCCAAGAUUGACAUGCUCACCUCACGAUAUGAGAACUUCAAAAUGAAGGAAGGAGAAACUAUACAUGACAUGUUCACAAAGUUGUCUUCCAUUACAAAUGAGCUGCGAAGUCUGGGUGAACCUAUAAGCAUGACCAAACAAGUCAGGAAAGUGCUUCGAAUUCUUCCAAAGUCUUGGGAGAGCAAAGUUGAUGCCAUUACAGAAGCUAAGGACUUGAAGGUGCUGACCAUGGAUGCCUUGAUUGGAAAUCUUAAAACACAUGAGAUGAAUCGAAACCAUGAUUUGUCAAAAAGGGAAGCCAAGAAGGACAAGUCAUUGAUGUUGAAGUAUAAAUCAGAUGAAGAUUCAAGUGAUGAUGAUGAUAUGACAUAUCUCAUCAGUAGAUUUCAAAAGAUUGUGAGAAAAAACAAAAUGCAUAAAAGAGGAACAAAUGGGACUCGAAAUGCUGCUCAAGGUGAUACUUGCUACAAGUGUGAAAAAUCUAGGCACUUCAUCAGAGAGUGUCCUUUACUCAAGAAUGAAAACAAGGAACAUCAAAAACACAGGGGUGACAAAGAAAACAGAAGGGACCUGGUACCUGGUAACAGAGAUCGUAAAGCUGCUGCUGGUAUGGUUGUCAAAAGGGCUCUUGCUGCAUGGGGGGAUUCUUCUAGUGACUCAGAAGAUCCUGAUGAGCCAAAAGAUGUGUCGAUGGUUGCUGUGCAUGAGGAGGAAACUGUCUUUAAUGAAAUGUUUGCUCUUAUGGCACACACAGAAAAUGAAGAAGAAAACAAUCAGGUAACUCUUUUUGACAUGAAAAAUGACUUGGAUAAAUAUUCUCUUAAAAAAUUGAGAACCUUGGCAAAAGUCAUGUUAGAUUCUGUGAUAGAGUUAACAUCUGAAAGAGAUACCAUGAUUGCUGAACUUGAAAUUUUAACUGAAAACAAAGGUCAAUUUGAAGACACAAUGUCAAGAAUGGUGUCUCUAGAGUUAAAAAACUCUGAACUUAAGAACCAGUUGUGUCAGAUUACUGAAGAAGCUGAAAAUCUGAAUGGAAAGCCAAAUAGUCUGCAAGCUGAAAUUCAAGAAAAAUUGAAAAACUCUGAGAAAAAUCUUAGUUUGUCACUUGAAAAGAAUAACAAAUUUGAACAGGAUGUUGUGAAACUUAAGAAAGAGCUUGAAAAUUCUCUUAAGUGGACCAAAUCCUCAAAGUUGCUGUCAAAUGUGACAAAUCAGAGUAAUUUCAAUAAGAAAGGACUAGGAAGUCUGAGCAUAAGUCCUCCUUAUAAUCCUCACAGUAAGUAUGUGUUUGUGUCCGACAAUCUGUUGUGUCUGCAUUGUGGUAAGAAUGGACAUUUGAAGAAUGAGUGUGUUAGCUGGAGAAACUCAUGUGAAAGACAUUCUAAGUAUGCUCAAAAACAAAAUGUACCAAAUGAGAGACCUGGUCUUACAGAGCCUGUCUCAACUCACAAAUUUUCAAAGAAAAAAUCUGUUCCUGCUCCUAGGUCUUUUGUUAGAAAGAUUCAAAGUCUACCAUAUUGGACUAAGUACAAUCUGAUCACUCCUUUGUCUGCCUACUGGGAACUCAAGCUGAAAUGGGUUCCCAAGCUUAACAAGUGAUUUUUGGUGCAGGUGAGUGAGAGGGGAAGCAGUCAAUGUUGGUAUAUGGAUAGUGGCUGCUCUAAACAUAUGAUUGGUGAUGUAAAGAACUUCCUCUCACUCAAGACCCUCCAAGGUGGAGGUGUCUCAUUUGGUGAUGGCAAGAAUGGGUACAUUUUGGGAGUUGGCAAAGUAGGAAGAUCUCUUGAAGAUUCAAUUGACAAUGUUUACCAUGUGGAUGGGUUGAAGUACAGCUGGCUAAGUGUGUCACAAAUCUGUGACAAAGGAAAUGAGGUCAAAUUUACUUCUGAAAAAUGCACUGUGGUGAGUUUAACUACAAACAAGGUAAUUCUCACUGCACACAGAAGGAAAAAUAUGUAUGUGGCAAACUUGGAAAUCUCUCAUGGAGAUGACUUAACAUGUCUCAGUGCUCAAAAUAAAAAUGCUGAUCUCUGGCAUCGUAGGCUGGGACAUGUGAGUUUAUCUUUAUUGAAUAAGUUGAUUUCAAAGGACCUGGUCCGAGGGUUGCCCAAAAUGAAGUUUGCUGAAAAUAAAAUAUGUGAAGCUUGUGUUAAAGGAAAGCAAAUCAGAUCAUCAUUCAAGCCCAAGAAUCAGGUUACAUCAUCAAGAACCUUAGAGCUGCUUCACAUGGACCUUUGUGGACCCUUGAAGGUUCAAAGCAGAAAUGGCAAGAAGUACAUCUUGGUGAUUGUUGAUGACUAUUCAAGAUACACCUGGACGAGAUUUUUGAGAUCAAAGGCAGAGACAGCUGAUGAACUGGUGGUGUUCUUCAAAAUGAUUCAAAGGCAGAAACAGCUGAUGAACUGGUGGUGUUCUUCAAAAUGAUUCAAACCAAAUUAAAUCAAGUUGUUUGCAGCAUUAGAUCUGAUCAUGGGACAGAGUUUGAAAACUCAACAUUGGAUAGAUUUUGUAUGGAAAAUGGUACAAGCCACAACUUCUCUGCUCCAAGAACUCCUCAACAAAAUGGAGUGGUGGAGAGAAAGAAUAGAAACUUGGUGAACAUUGCCAGAACUAUGAUUAUUGAAUCAAAUCUUCCUCAAAGUUUCUGGGCUGAAGCUGUUAACACAGCAUGUCAUGUUACCAACAGGUGUCUAAUAAGAGCUGUGUUGAACAAGACUCCAUACGAACUGCUCAACAACAGGAAGCCAAUGCUGAACUAUCUUAGAGCUUUUGGAUGCAGAUGUUUUGUGCUGAAUAAUGGGAAGGAUGAUCUGGGAAAAUUUGAUCCCAGAAGUGAUGAAGGAGUAUUUGUUGGAUAUUCUUCAUCCAGCAAAGCCUACAGAAUAUUCAACAAACGAACACAAUGCAUUGAAGAAAGCAUUCAUGUUGUGUUUGAUGAAAAUGGAAGCUUGAAGAAUGAUGGAUCAAAUGAUGAUGAUGAUGUACUCAAAAUGCUAAGAUCCAAGAAGAUUGAAGGUGCUGAAACUGAUGCAGAUCAACAACUGAAUAAUGAUUGUGAUGAUCAGAAUCACAGUCCACCUGAAGAGGAUGCUGAGGUUGAACAGGAUGAUGGGGUACCUGGUACUACUCAAAACUCCAGCCAGAGUACAUCAGACUCCCCAGAAGAUGACGUCACUCCUGAUGAAGAAGAUCAUGAUGAUCUGCCAAAUCAGUCUGCUGCAAGGUCAGGAUGGAAGCAUAGUUCAUCACACCCUCUUGAUAAUCUCAUUUCUCCCUUGAAUUCUGGAAUUCAAACUAGAUCAAAAACAAGAAAUCUAGUUGCAUUCUCAACAUUCAUAUCAUCCAUUGAGCCUAAGAAUGUCAAAGAAGCAUUAAGUGAUGCAGACUGAAUCAAUUCUAUGCAAGAAGAACUUCAUCAAUUUGAAAGAAGUAAGGUAUGGUACCUGGUUCCUCGACCUAAAGGCAGAACAAUAAUAGGAACCAGGUGGGUAUUCAGAAACAAACUUGAUGAAAAUGGAGUUAUUACUAGAAAUAAAUCCAGGCUGGUGGUGCAAGGAUACAAUCAAGAAGAAGGAAUUGACUAUGAUGAGACUUUUGCACCUGUUGCCAGAAUGGAAGCUAUUAGAAUCUUAAUAGCUUUUGCUGCUUUUAUGGGGAUCAAGCUUUAUCAAAUGGAUGUGAAGAGUGCAUUUCUGAAUGAAGAUCUCAAAGAGGAGGUGUAUGUUAAGCAACCUCCUGGGUUCGAAGAUGCAGAGCUACCAAAUCAUGUGUUCAGAUUGAAUAAGGCAUUAUAUGGUCUGAAACAAGCUCCAAGAGCUUGGUAUGAAAGAUUGUCAAAGUUUCUGCUGAAGAAUGGUUUCAAAAGAGGCAAGAUAGACAAUACUUUGUUCUUACUAAAAAGAGAACAAGAAUUGCUUAUCAUUCAAGUUUAUGUGGAUGACAUAAUUUCUGGAACUACUUCAGAACAUCUCUGUGAAGAAUUCUCAUCAUUAAUGGGAAGGGAGUUUGAAAUGAGUAUGAUGGGUGAGUUGACAUUCUUUCUGGGGCUGCAAAUCAAGCAAUCAUCAAAUGGAACUUCAAUAUGCCAAGAGAAGUACAUCAAAGAGCUGUUGAAGAAAUUUAAUAUGUUUGAUUCCAAACCUAUUGACACUUCUAUGGGAACAAAUCCCAAGAUGAUAGUAGAAAAAUCUGAUCCCCUUGUGAAUCAGGCAAUGUACAGAGAAAUCAUUGGCUCCUUGCUGUAUCUGACUGCUAGCAGGCCUGAUAUUGUGUAUAGCGUUGGAAUAUGUGCCAGGUUUCAAGCAUGUCCUCGUGAUUCACAUCUGAAGGCUGCAAAACGUAUUCUUAGAUACUUGAAGAAAAUAGGGAACCUGGUUCUCUUUUAUCCUGCAGGUGAUACUUUUGAUCUGGUUGGUUUUGCAGAUGCUGAUUUUGCAGGUUAUCAAGUUGACAGAAAGAGCACCUCUGGAAUGGCUCAUUUUCUUGGAUCAUCACUUAUCUCUUGGGGCACCAAGAAGCAGAACUCUGUGGCUCUUUCAACUGCUGAAGCUGAAUAUGUAGCUGCUGCAGCCUGUUGUUCUCAAUUGUUGUGGAUCAGGCAACACUUAGAAGAUUUCGGAAUCCACAUCAAAGCAUUUCUUCUCAUGUGUGACAACACUAGUGCUGUGAGUAUGGGAAAGAACUCAUUUCAUCAUAAGAGAACAAAGCACAUUGAUGUCAGACACCAUUUUUUGAGAGAUCAUGUUGAGAAGGGAAAUAUUGUACUCACAUACUGUCCAACGGAGGAACAGAUUGCAGACAUCUUUACCAAGGCUCUCAGUAAGGAUCAAUUUGAGAGAAAUCGAUUAAAAUUGGGGAUGUUGAUCUCCAAGUGAUGCUUUUAGCUUCUAACAGUAGAACUCCCUUGAUGGUUAGAUUUGCAGUGCAGGUAUCCUUUGUGUGAACCUUAAAUAUUUGAACAAGAUCACUUUUUGUAUCUUUUGUAGGUAUACUCUCAAUAGGGACCUGCUCAGCAAAAAAAGAGGCUAGAACAAUUAAGGAAUGAAGUUAAACUCUAUCAUGGUACUUGGUACCUGUCCAGGUUAGCAUUUUUACAUUAAUUUUAAACUAAAAAAUUUGACCGUUGAAAAAGUCACGUGUCAAUCAUCGGUUACUCUGACCGAUCAGUCCAAUCGUUUCUCCCUCAAACGACGCAUCUAAUCAAGGACCUGGCACCUAUUCACUUCUUUUUAAAAGGGGUCUUUUCUUCUUGAAACUCUCAUCCGUCUCUUAAACUUUAUCUCUCUCUUCUAUCACAAAACUUCUCACAUUCAAAGGCAAAUCUGUCUUCCUCUUCUUUUUGUUCCUUCAACGACCCCUUCUAGUAUCACAAACAUGUCUUCUUCUUCGUCUUCUUCUAAGCAAAUGCUGGAUGCACUUAGUGAAAUCGCGCCCCUUGCAUUUUAUUCUCCAACACCUGCUCAAGCCAGCCUUCCUCCCCUACCUAGUCCUCCACAAAAUACUCCGGACAACCCUUUCUUCUCCAUUGAUUUAUACACUUCUUCAGUACCUGGUCCAUGUGAAGACAUGUUUCCUGACAACAUGUUUAAGGGAGACCUACCAAAUCACAGGGCUUCCGAGUCAAAUAUUCUGGCAGCAAGUGAGGAACUUGUGAUUGAGAGCCUGGCAAUGAUGAGUGAAGAGGCCAGAGCAGAACAUAAUGACGCCCUGGAAAGAGAAGAGGUAAGUCCUUCUCAACCCAUCUUCGAUAAAACCCCUGAUUUAGGGCGGUAUUCUUCUUCCUCUUCAUCUGAAUCUGCAAGUGAGGAAGCACCAUUAAAAUGGAAGUUGGAGAGUCGAAAAGGGAAGGAAAAGGUCGUGGAGGAGACUCCUAAGAGACGACCUAAUACAAGGUCUGCUGCACAAAAAUUGAUGGUGGAUGCCUUGAGGGCAAGUGCACGAUCUGCUGCUGCAGUCAGAAGUGCACGAACCUUCAAGGUAUCAAAUUUUAAGAUACCUAAAGAAAAAUUGGUUGAGUUGUCUGGAGAAGAGGUUGAAAAGAAAAAUAACAAGAAGAAGUCAGAAAAGAAAAGGGAAAGGGUACAAAGAAGGUUGAAAAGUCACAGUCAAAAGGGAAGAAAUCUGAAAGGAAGAGGAAGCGGACACAGGAACCUGGUCCUCAAGCUAGGAAAGUUGAGAAUGUCAACUUGCAGGAAGUAGUUGACAGUCUGAGGAAACAAGCAGUUCUCGCUGGAAGAGUGUUUGAUAUGGGGAUUAUUACUCCUCCGGGCAUGGACUCUCUGCAUGACAUGGUGGAGAUCCAGUCUUGGCUGCACCUGUUCAACAAGAAAUCCCCCAUCCUCCAUGAAGAAGAGGUUCGUGAAUUCUAUUACAAUGUUCAGUUUCUGGAAGAUGGGAGUCUCCUCACACGUGUGAACAAUGUUGCUAUUUCUUUGAAUGAGGAGGUGUUCGGCAAAAUCCUCAGAGUGCCUACAGAGGGGACCCGGUCCGUUCAGGGAAAAACUUGCUCUUCAGAAUUUGCAUCUUUGAUUUCUAAGACUCCCACAACCAAGGUUGCUGGGAUCUAUAAGAAAAUUAUGAAGAGUGACUAUCAGCUGGUCUUCGAGUUUGUCAACAAAGUGAUUCUCCCUCGUACUGAAAAGAGAACACUUGCUACUGCUGCUGACUUGAGGCUGUGCAGCUUUGAGGCUCUGUGCCUUCCUAGUCUCAUGAUUGAACACAUUUACAAAACAGUUAUUGAGAGGAAAGGAGUACAUGGAAUGGGGUAUGGAUACUUUCUCACUAAAGUAUUCAAGCACUUUCAGAUUCCUCUUGGUGUUGGAAAGGUGGGGACAGUUAAACAAACUAUCUCUGAGCAUACUUUGUUUGAAUGUGAAUGUAUUGAAGGUAGAGGCUUACCAAAAAGCAAGAUGGCUCAACUUCUUGAGGACCUGGAUUAACUUAAACAUGAGACUGAAGAACUCACUGUGCGGUUGAGUAGUAAAGAGGCUGAAAUUGUUGUACUCAAAGCAGAGCUGCUUACUGCACAGAGUGAGGUACCUGGUUCUUCAGUUGUACAAGCACUGGAGAAAGAGAACAAUGAGUUGAAGGCGAUGAUAACUGCCCUGCAAGAAAAGGCCAUCAAGGAUAAUGAUGCUGCCAAUGCACGACUCACUCUUGCUAUCCAGUCCCUAUCUAAAACUCCCCCCUCUUCCUAAACUGUCAAUCAAUCCUUCCCUGUGUCUCUUUUGUUGUGUGGCUAAUCAUCGUGUUAAUGGAUUUUUAGUUUGUUUUUAAUGUAUUUAUGUUAUAAUGGCAUGUUGGUUACUUUAUUCCUUUGUUGUUCUUCCUAUGUUCUUUUGUGAAUGUUUUUCCUCUACUGUUUGAUUGCUGUUUGCUCUGAUCUUGUUCAUUAUUUAUGUUGACUCAAUGGUUUACUGCAUAUCUUUUUUAUGAUGCCAAAAUGGGGAAGUAAACUGUAAGUAUCUAAAUAAGGGGGAACAUACAUUAAGGGGAACAUACAUUAAGGGGGAAUAUUCAGAAAAAGGGGAAUAUACAGAAAGGGGGAAUACAAAGUCAGGGGGAACGAUUCUGGUGAAGAUUUCAGAUCAUAUCAUUGUUUGUCAUCAUCAAAAAGGGGGGAAAUGUUAUUUGUAGUUUUGAUGAUUUGACAAACUUAGGGACCUCAUAAAGGUACCGGGUUUUCUACUUGAGUAUUGCAGGUGUCUUCUUUGAAGUAUUGCAGAUGAAACAAACCCAGGGACCUAGUAGAGGUACCAGGCCCUCAUGAUGAUGAGCCAGUCAACUACUAGCUGGAGACGUACAGAAAGUAGGUGCACACUUCCCGAUUGCGUCAGAAAAGUGUGACCUUUCCAACCAAUGGCAAAGAAGUUUAGGAAAGUGACUUGCCAUAUAAAAGGCACUUUCCUAAACAUUUGUUUUUUAGUUUUUGCAACUUGAUAAAAACUUUUCAAGAACUCUUGCAAAGGCUACACAAAGCAAAGGCAGAAUCAUUCCUAGGACAACAGCAACAUCUGGAGCUUUUCGUCUAGUUGUUUAGGAAUUUAUUCUCUUGUUCUUAAAUUGUAAACCACUCCUAAAUCUAUAAAGGAAUUGGUGUGUUGUGUUAAAAGUCUUGGUUGUCCAGGUGGGAUAGCUUAGUGGGUAGAUUGUUUUUCUACUUUGGCUUGUUGAGCAAUAGAGGUCUAUUGCUUAACGGUAAGAUUGAUAACUCUUUCUUACGUUUGGUGUAAUCGUGUUUCACUUUUGCUUUUGAAGAUUAGUGAAAAACAAUGGAAAAUCCUGUGAGACAGGUCGUGGUUUUACUCCCUUAAGCAAGGAGGUUUCCACGUAAAAUCAUUGUGUUGAUUUUACUGCAUUUAACUUUCUGGUAAUUUUCUGAAAUAAAGUAAGGGACCUGGUCCAUUACUAUUAAGUGAAGCCAUACAUUCUAUCAGGGAAUACUCGUGCAUUUUUCCCUAUUUAUAUUUACGUAUCCUUAUUUUUAAAUUUGUGAAAGUUAAGGGGUUUAAGACCAUAUUCAGUUGAACAAACUAGACUUUUGAUUUUAUCACGUUGAAAUAUAUUGGUAGGCCAUUGUCAAAUUACACUGUAAAGUUCUCUAAGAAAUUGUUAAAGGUAUAUUAAGUUUUAAGAAGAUAAUAAUGAUAUAUUUAAUAUAAUUUCAUAGGUAAAUUAAGUUUUAAGAAGAUAGAUCGUAAGUAAUCUUAUCCCUAUUCAGAAGGUUGGCAAAUUGUCUUCUGUAGAACAUUGACUAAAAAGAAAAUAAUAGUACUAAAAAAAUCAUGUCAAAAUAAAAACAACAGAUAAUAACAUAUUUCAAAAGACAAAAACUUAUUGAAUAUAAUACGAUAACUCUUUAACAUUUUGAAUGUAAUGCAGUUUCCUUAUUGAAUAAAUAUAUAAACAAAUGUCGCUCAACAAUAUAUUUAACUUUCGAAAAAACAAAGUACUUAACUUUAUAUAUAUAUAUAUAUAUAUAUAUAUAUAUAUAUAUAUAUAUACAUUUUUUUUUCUAUUAUAUAAAAGAGAUAAGUUGAGGACGAUUAAAAGUAAAUUUGUCAUUUCAUAAAUAUUCUAAAAUGUUUGUUUUUAUGUUAUGACAUCAAAAAAGAGACAAUGGAUUUAUAAUGACUAGGGGUGUGCAUUAUUUGGAUUAAACCGAAUCAAAUCAAAUUCUAAUUUGGAUUGGUUUUUUGGAUUCUUGAUUUGGUUUUGGAUUUAUAAUUUACUUUGUUUGAUUUUUUGGUUUGGUUUCUUUUUAAGAAAAAUGAAAAUAGAAAAAUCGAAAAAACCAAAUUAUAUAUAUAUAUAUAUAUAUAUUAGUAAAGAAUGUCAAAAUCUUUAUCGAUAUUAGUUAAGUGUCAUUAGAUUCAAUAUUACUAAAACCUUUAAGAGUAUUUAUAAAAAAUACUAAUUACCGCUAAAAUUCAUUUUUAAUGUAGCAUAUAAACAUCAAUUAUCUAAAAUCCAUAACAUAAUUCUCUCACAGUAAUUCCAAACACGCAAAAAGACCAAAAAGAAAAAAGGAAAAAAACUGUUUAGUCCAAUGGUGACUAGAAAUUCUUGGUUUGGGAAGAGUUGCAUUAAAGUGGUACAAUUUGGACCCUAAUGGAAUAAAUUAGAGGAGUAAUUAUGUAUAUAUUUCAAAUUAGUACAACACAUGAUGAAACAGUUAUGAGUCAAUUUUCACGUGCAUGGCCAUUUUUCUUUUUUGGCUACCUCUAUCUUAUAGUAUAAUAUAUAUUUAGUAUUUUACGAGGCUGGCGCCAUUGAUGGCUCACGGUUUAUUACUCCUUCUGUCCGGUAUUGUUUAUCAUAAUUUUUACUUUUAGAGUUAAAUUAUAAAAAUUUUGACUAACAUUUUAAGAUCAUAUUAAUAUACAAAAUAUUGUAAUUUAUAAUACUUUUUAUAUAAUUUUAGAAUAUCUAGUUUUUUUGUUUAAAAUGUCGAAUUAAUGUGAUCCAAUUUACCUUUAAAAAUUAGUUAAAUUAAUUUUCGAAAAAUGCAACAUAACAAACAAUUUCUGAGAUAAAAUAAAGACAUAACCGAGAUUGGAAAAUUAUGCAACAAGUCUUUUAUUUUUUUUCUAAAAAAAAUGUAGCACGGAAAUGGAAAAUGGAUGAGGAGAUUAUAAGGUACAUGGGAAAAUGAAAUUUUCAUUUAUAAGGUAAAAGUUCAGAUUUUCAUGCAACGAGAUUGAGUCCAAGACAGAGUUGUUGGGUAAUGUCAAUAUCAUGCCCACGAAGGGUUGGAUGGCCUGAGUCGGAGUCAUAAUCAAACAUAGCGCUUGCUUAAUGGACUUAGUUAAGAAAUAAAAUUGUGCAUUUACUUACUAUAAGCUAUAAUUUUUGGCUUAAUGCUAACAUCCUUCCUACGAGGGAUUGAAUGACCCGAAUCAAAGUAAUGAUGUCUUUCCUUAAUAGUUUGGUCUCAAAAUACAUUUGCUAUUAAUAGUUUCAUUAAAAACGUCUCUAUUGUUGUUUGAACAUUGUCUAUCCAAACUGUUAACAUCAUGGAUAUUUUAUUACCUAAUGACUAUAGUAUUAUUAUAUUUAAAGAAUAUUUCUCCUGUUUCUUUUCUUUUAAAAAAGAUAUCAUUUUAACACUGAUAGAAAAUGGGAAGUAAUUUUUUAUUUCUUAAAUUUAAUUUAUGAUCAACUUUUUCUUCAAUAAUCUUACCACGUAAUCUUGCAUUGAUAAUUCGUAUAGAGCGAUCAGUAAAGUUCAAGCAAUAAAAGUAUUACCGUAUGUAAUUUCAACCAAUAAAAGUAUUUUUUAUUUUUUAAAGUUUUUUUUUUUGAGCGAAAAUUAAUGAUGGUAAUUAUGAUCUUAUAUAUAUGAAUUAGUGAACUAUAUUAACAAUUAAAAAUGUAUAUCAACUAUUCUAUUUUAAUUGAUAAAUGAUAUUAAAAACAAGAAAAUUACUUCCUUCUUUUUAAUCAGUUAAAGAGAUUUCAUAAUUAGAAAAGAAACCAAAAAAAAAUAAGUCUUUAAAAAUAAAAGAUUUUUUGCUCUUUAGUUCAGUAAAUAUACGAAUUUAUUAAGAAAAAAAAAAGGAUAAAAGUAUGAGUGUUUCUAUUAUAUAAUAUAAUAUAAUAUCCCCUGUAACUUUUUUUCAAUUGAUUACCGCUAGACUUAAAUCAUGACAAUUAAACUAAAAAAGGAAAUAUUGCAUAUAUCCCAAACAAAAUUUUCAGGUCAGAUAAUUAGUAGAAUAGUUGAAGAAUAAAGUUUUUUUUUAUAAACAAUUACUACUUAUUUCACAAAAAAUUUGAAUCUUUUAAAGAGUUAGGGAAUUUUUAAAAUUAUUAUUUGGCUAUUACAUUUUAAUAUUCCAAAUUGUAGUUCAUUUCUCUGUGUUACUGGGUUAGAAAAUUCAACUGAAUUUACUAUUAUUGAUAUAAGUAUAUCAUAGUUUGCAAUUCAAUUUACUGUCACUGAUUAAUUUUUGUUUUAUAAAUAUUGUAAUUCUAAGGAUUAAUUUUCAACUGUAUUAUUUGUUAUUAACAAAAAAAAAAUUGGGUUUCAAAGAAGAAGAAAAAUCAACAAAAUAUAAGAGAAGAACAAAUACGUGACAUAUAUCACACAUUUAUAUUUUUUAAAUUUGAAUAAGUGGCUCAAUGAACAAACAAGUACAUUGUUUUGCUUUUUAUUAGUCGAUUGUUGAAUUAAUAAAAAAAAAUCUCCAUAGUUUCAAAUUUGUACCAACAUAUUUUUAUAUAUAAUAAAAACGUGCAUGUGCAUGCUCAUAUAUUCUUGCUUGGCUACUGGCUAGCUUAAUUUAUAAUCGUAUUUAUGAGGCAGCCUUCAAUUACUCCUGUUCUCCCAUCAUCAAGAUAAUAUAUAUAUAUAUAUAUAAUAUAUAGCAUAAAGAAAUAGCCAAUUUGGAAAAUAUACUUUGUCCGUCUAAUAAUAGUCGUUCAUUAUACUGUUUUAAAAUGUCUAAUAAUAUUUUUGCUCAUUGAUAAAAUUAAUGGAUAAUUUUACACAUAGUUCCUAAUCAGUGGGAAGGUUCAAAAACUAAAGAAAUAAACAUAUGAAGUAGCCGAAGGGAGAUCGAAAUCAUAUAUAUAUAUAUAUAUAUAUAUAUAUAUAUAUAUAUAUAUAUAUAAAAUUAUUUUAAUACAUAAAAAAAUAAUAUAAUUUUCUACCGAAGAGGGUUCGACCUAAUAAUAAUAUGACUGUGGCACUGUUCCUAAUUUAUCUUUUAUCAUUAAUUAUAAUUAUUCUUUUAUUAUUUUUUAAAGUAUUAUGUUAAUUAUAUUCAUAGAAUUAUAUAGUAAAAUUAUCACUCUUUUAUUAUGUAAUUUUUUAAGAAAUAUAUAACAAUAGUGGUCCAAAAUGGAGUGACAAAAAUAUAGAGCCUACCACUGCAAUAUUAAUAAUAUUGAGAGGAUCUUAGUCCAAUUGUAGAGGGAUACUCUAUCACUUUGUUUUAAUCUAUUAUAAUAGGUUGUUUGUUUUUUACAUGUCAUUUAUUAUUCCAUUUUGAUAUGAUACACAAAUAAUAAAUAAAAAUUUGAAUAUAGUUUUUCUUUAUGUUUACAAGUAUUACGUUACAUUCUAUUCUAUCAUAAUAGAUAGUAAUAAUAAAUUAGACGCUAAUAAUAUUGAGUAGUAAGAAAAAAUAGUACAUGCAAGUCUUAUUUCUAUCUACGAAUAUAAGAAUGUUAUUUUUGAAAGACUUUUCGUUCAAGUUACACAAAUCAAAACAAUUAUAUAUUUUUUUUAAAAAAAUACAAAAAAUAUCGUAUUUAGAAGGGAAAAAAAUGUGCAAUGAUAUUUUUAAAUAUGUAUUCCAAAAAGGGCAACUUUCACAUAUAGCAAACAUAAAAUUCAUAUUUGUAUACUAUAGCAAAGUUUGCAUAAUUGCACUCCAUAGCAAACAUAUAAAUGUAUAAUUCGCUAUACAUAUACAAUUAAAGCGAAUUGUAUAAAAUGAAGUGUAUAAAACCAGAAAGAGAAAGAGACUGGGCAGAGAAUUGUAUAAAACGAAGUGUAUUAUAAGAAGAAUUGUAUGUGUAAUUAUAAGUGUAUAUAACGAUUAUAUGCAAUUUGAAUUUGUAUAAAAUGAGGAAGAGAGAGACAAAAGAGAUUUGGGCAGAAAAUAUACAAUUGAAUCGAAUUAUAUAAAACGAAGAAGAGAGAAACUAUAUACAAUUUAAAUUUGUAUAAAACAAGAAAGAGAGAAAGGCAAAAGCUAACCAAAAAUAUAUGUAUUUAUACAAUUUCCUCUCGCUUUAUACAAACACAAACGCAUUUUAUACAUUUGUGUUUGUAUAAGGAUAUAUAAUUAUUUAAUAAAAAUCGAAUUUGGAGAGAGAUUUUAGGAAAAAUUGAAAGAAAUUGGAAGAGUAAAAAUAGCUAACAAAUUUGUAUUAAGAUAGAGGGUGGCCACAACCAAUUAAAAAUAAUUGAUUUGGAAAGAAAUAUUAGGGAUAACUAAAGAAAAUGGGAGAGAAAAGAUAGGGAAUGAAUUUAAAUAAAAAUAAAUCUUCUGCAGGGUCCGAACCAAAUGGCAAAAUUUGUACAAAUUUGCUGCCGAGUAUAAAUGUUUCAAACAGUAGCUAUAGGAUUUAUUUUAAUUUAAAUAUUUGCUAUUAUGUAUAAUUUUCUCUUCAAAAAAUACUUUUUUAUAUAUUUAGGAGAAAAAAUACGUAGAAAUCCCCUUAACUAUACUCUUUUAUCAAAAAGACAAAAGAAUUAUGGGAAUUGUAAUAGCCCCAAUCAGUAAAGUUUUCUUUAAACCUUCUAAGAUUAAUCCACAAAUUCAUCCUUAAAAAUUCAAUUUUUCAUAUUAUCUGAAGGCAUUACUAUUUGGAAAUUAAGUUGAACAAGUUUAUUUACUAUAAUUGUUUUCUAAAAUAUUGUAAAUCAUUAACUAUGUUUACUUGUAGAAUAUAUACUACCAAAAUUGAUGAUAGAAAAUACAACAAGUCAUGAGCAUUAAUAACUAAUGAUUCAUAAUAUUUGAGAAAGCGGAGUAAUUAUUUCUACCAAUAAAUUUUUUACAAUAUAUAUAAAUGCAUAAAAUAUAAAACUAACAUGCUAAAAAACAUAAAAGUUAUAUAGAUAUGGAGAAAUGAAGGAAACAAUAAUAACAAAACAUAUUUUUGUUAACCUCAAAACCUUAUUAUGAGAACUUUGGCAAAUACAAAACAAAGAAAAAUAAUAUCCCCCAUAAAAUGCUUCUUCUAAAACAUGUUGGAGAAAUAUUGAAGAUUUCUCACUAGAAUAAACUUAAAAUCAAGAUAAGUAGUAGUAGUAUUUUUCACAAGACAAUUAAUUACACAUGCAUCCUCUCAACCAACAACAUUUUUUGUCAUCUAUUUUCUUUUAUCAUUUCUUUUUCUUUUCCUCCAUGACGUUUUGCCUAAAAAAUAAUAAUAGUACAACUACUUUCUAAAAAGAAGAGUUCAAUUCGAUAUUCCUUUAUUAAUGUACAAAUCAAAUACUUUCACAGUUUUCUUAGUUGCCAUGAUUUUCUUUUUUAGAAUCAAAUGAAGCGAUAGGUACAUUAGCUAGCAUUUACGUUGUUUUUUUCAUUAUAUUAAUAUGCAAUCAGUUGCAAUUUUUCAUAUAGUUUUUGAGUGUCAAAAUUUUUAAUUUAAAUAAUUUAAUUUAAUUUUGAAAGUAAAUCAAAUUAACUUUCAAAAAAUAAAAUACGAUAACUAAAAAGGAAUGAAAGGGAGUAUUAUUUACUUUUUUAGAAAAAUUUAUAACGUUGGGGUCACCUAUAUUUGACCUUACUUUUUUGCAUAAAUAUAUUUGAUAAUUUGAAUAUUCUCAAAUUUUGAAAAACUUAGCAAAAUCAUCCAUCUUGGCUCAAUUUAUUUGAAAUCUACAACCAAGUUUGUUCUAAAAUAUAAUAAUAUUUCGCAAUAAAUAGUCACAUAAUAUUAUAAAUUAGAUCAUAUAUUAGCUACUACAUACUAUUACAAAUUAUUUUCUUUACUUGAUAUUUUUGAAAUAAAAGUUAAAAAAUGGAUUUGUAUUUGAUUCUAAUUAUUACAAAAUAACAUUUCAUUGUUUAAAUAUACUUUUCCUAAAUAAAUAAGUAUGAUCUAAAUCUAAACAAUAACCAAAAUUGGUUAUUUUUAUAAUAAUAAAAAAAGACAAAUUUGACCCAAAAAAUAUCGCGAAAAAUGAAGACAAACAUUAGAAUAAUUUUUUAAUUUCAAAUACAAAUUGUAUCAAUACUUUCCAUGGUCAAGCAUUAGACUUUCACAUUAAGUGUAAGAAAACCUCGAGAAAAAAAGGGGUCCAAAAUUCCAGAUUUGUCUUGGUCGUCCGAGCAACUCACAUUAAUUAUAGAAAUUAAAUCAUACAGUUAAAAAUUAUAAAAAUAUAGACUCGAGUCAUAUACAGUAAAUGUGAAAAGUGUAAGAUAAAGAAAAACUACACAGAUGAUGUGAUUUAAAAUGUUAUAGCAUGCAUCAUAUUCACCAAUUAUCGUUGAAAUUUCAAAUAAUUCCUUGAGAAAAUGCAUAGAAUAGACCCUAAUGUUUUUUCGUCUGAACCCGCAUAGCGAGAGUUUAGUGUGCCUAAAUAACACGAAGUUGUCUGAAUGUUUCCAAGUAAAAUAUUUACUCAGAUCAAUGGUGUUUAUACUACAUGACUAUGAAAUAUGGAUAACCUUCCAAAAAAUCAAUGCACCAAUAAUACACGACCCUAAAACCAGAAUUGAUACUUAUCACAGAGUACCCAAAAACUUGUAUAAUACACGCGUCCAAAAACAUCAAGACCCUCAGAGAAUCGAUCAAUCAGCUUCCUAAACCCUGCAGGGGGGCAGGGAAUAGGGCAUCACCAUAUAACUUAUACCUCCUUUCUUACCAGGCUGUUCGUAAGCACUCAAAACAGCAGGAUUGAAACCAUGACUCUGCUCUUCCAAGACCAAUGAAACAUCAUAUCAUAAUUCCGCAAAGAAACUGUUCGAACUCCCAGGAUCUGGCCCUUUAUUUACAUUUUUCUUCUUGCUCCCUGCAGAAAGAACAAAAUAAAUGGUCAUAGGGUACACUAAGUUUAUGUAUAAUGUAGAGGAAUAAACAGCAUGGAAAAAGACGCAAAGAAGGGCAAGUGAGGGACGGAUUGAGAGUAGUUUUUAUGUUGGGUGAUUCACCAAGUACCUGACAAGACCUACCAUUCUAUAGUUAAUAAGUCUACCAAAUAAAGUUGACAGGCCAUCAAGAAUGGCAGUUUUCUUGCUCCUUGCACCAGUUAAACUGAAUUGAUUACAAAGUAAUUACCGGGCAAAAAACAUUGAGAAGCAAUUCCAUGUUCUCAAACUCAUGGAUAACAUAUUUCACUAAUGUUAGGGAUGCAUCUAUAAGUUUCAUGUACUCUACUUCAGAGCAAGAACAGCAAUGUAACAACAAUACUGAAAAUAACAUUAGUCAAUGAACUAAUAAUUUAUCACCUCAGAUUAUCCACUAACCAAACAGUAAAGAUUCUAGAAAAGUUGUACUUGUGCCUUCACAUUCUAAAUCUUUUAAAUAUUUAUAGAUAAUCACUAUGAACAGUGUGAAAUGGAGGUCUUAUUUGAAUACAUUAAUGAAACAAUAAUAAUAUCCAUAAUGGUUUCUCCCAACCACCAUAACACAAGGAAGCUAGAACCAAAUCUAAAAAUUUGUAAGAAAAUUCACAUUAUAAAGACUUCUUGAGAUACUACUUUAUUUGAAAUAGAAAGAAAAAGGCAUGAUGAAACCAGAUGAGCCAAGCUCAAUAGUGUAGCACAGACGAGAGCCAUGAGACUCAAAUAGUUCACAAUAAAAUGGCACAUAUAAACACUUUUGACAAGGGGAUCUAUACAAAAUCCUUGGGAAGUAAGCUCAUUAAUAAUUGGGAAUACAAGACAUUCGAUCCCUGUACCUUGUAUCUCCCACAUUCAAAUUUCUUUUUUAUUUGAGAAGGUAAAACCACAUUCAAAUAUGAUAAUGAUAUCCUUUACCACACGUGAAAGAAUAACUUCUCCAUUCAGAGAUGUGAAAGAUUGUAUACCUUUGGAAGAUUUUGGUAUAUUAUCAUCAACAUCCAUCCCAUCAUUAUCACUAUCUUCAGCACUUGAAUCAUUCUUGACACCAUCUUCAGAUUCUUGCACCAGCUCAUUCAGAUCCCACAACUAAAUAUUGAAAAGAGAGAUACAGCUAUUAGUGGGGUCCAACUUCCUAAAAUGCAUGAUCUUCUUGAAAAUCUCUAAGGAACUACUGUAAGAGGUAACUGAGAUAUUUACGGACUUUCAGUAAAUGGUCAUGUGAUGCACUUCCAAGAUACUUUCUAUCAUGAGAAAAGGCUGCAACAUGACAACGUACCACAUAAAGGAAAUUUGUCAAUAUAAGUAUGUAUUAUUGGAAGAUGCAUAUCUAAGCAAUGCUAACAAAUAGAAAUGUGAAGCACAGAAGUAUAUCGAUGUCCAGCCCAUACAUUGGAACAUAUAAAGAUUCAGCCAUCAAAAAUAGACUGCAAAAUUUCAACUUAAAGUCAUACCAAGACGUUCAACAGGGUAUUCUGAGUGCUCGCCAAUUGGCUGAAUGAUCUUGUUCGGUAAUAUGCCAACCAGGCUACACCAAAAUGAAACAUUAGUUCAAGGAAAAUAGCUUUUCAUUUGUCAAAUGAAAAAUACUCUUAUACCACAGUAGAGAGUUCUCUCACCUGAUAAGCCCAUUCUCACACCCAGUUAUUACUCGAUCUUCGUCAAGCUUAUCCAGAAGAAAAAGAACAUUUCUUUAUUUUUCAAUGUAUGAUUAUCAAGUGAAUCAGACUUCAAUUAUUGGUGAAAGAAAAUUACAGUAGACACUCUUAUCAACAAAAAAUUAUAACAGACACUUACUUUCAGUAAUGCAUCUAUAGAGUUCGGUGAUAGAUCAACAAAGCGAUCACUGAAAAUGACAAGAAAUGGAAUAUAUUGGAAUCAACUCCAGACAAAAGUUCAAGAAGCAAAAUGGAAAAUAGGAGACAUACCUGCAAUCCUUGAAAAAUCCCCAUGAAUACAGUAACAGAGUUCCAGAUUGAGUACCACAUAUUACUUUUCUACCAUUCUGAUGACAAAAAUGGAAAGGUAAAUCUUUUGUUUGAGAAGGUAACAGUUGUACGUAUUAAGGGCACUUCCCACAAUGGAAACAGUAAAUCUAGUCAACAUAAAGAGUUUGAAGCAUGUCUAGAGAAAGUAUUUUGUGGAUAGAAAUUGAUCAGAAAUCUAAAGAAGAAACAAUUUAAGAUGAGAAACAACCAUCUAUAAAGAAGUCUUCGAAGCUCAACAAGAGAAAGUGUAAAGGAAAAGAGUAUCAUAUUACAUGUAGAAGAUUUAUUACCUUCAUAAUUACCACAGAGAGCAGCUCCUCUUCAGAAAAUUCAGAGCGAGUUUGGAUCUGAAAUUGAGAUAUCGAAAUGGUAUCAACUUUUUAUAGUGAAGAGAACUUAUGUCAAGAUGAUAGUUUUUUAGUUUAAGAGCAACCAAAACAAAUACCUUACUGCUCCUUAAAUUGCAUACAGAAAGUGACCCAUCGCCACUACAGAGAAAAAGAAGAUUAGCAAUUCAGGAUAAUAACACUGAGUUCUUAACUUGAACCCCAUGAGACUGAGCUGCUUAAUCUGAGCCAGACUUGGCAGCACACGAACCCAAAAAUAACAAAAGAAAGAGAAAGCAUAUCACUUUCCUGACUUAAAAGACAACAUUCUUAAAUUUUGGUGGUUUAGAAGACAAAAGCCGGAGUUUGGAAAAAUGCAGCACACUGGUAAAAUAAAUAAUGGAGCACUUGAACUCUAACUCUAGAAUUAAACAUAAACCAGGGAUAACCAAUUCAAAUAAUCUUAAAUAAACUAUGACUGAAAUUCAAAUGCAUCAAGUAAACCCUAAUCAGGAACCCCUUUCACCUUUUGGGAAUAACAUUGUAAAAGAAUGUCCAGGAUGAAAAAGCAACUAAAACCAGUCCAAGAAACUGUCUAAAAAUUAGAUUAACGUACAGAAAAAAUUGACUUGGCAAAAGAACAAAAAGAGUCCUGAUUUUCAUUUCAUCGCUUUAGAAAGAUCAAUUGACGUGGUAUCUUCAGAACCAAUAGAAGAUUUCAAAUUCAUUCCUCCUCGCCUAUAAUUAUAAAUGCUAUGGCGACUAGUUUAUUGCUUUCCAAUAAUUAAAAAUGUGACUAGCUCAGCAAAAAACUACAUACUCAAAUUCAAAGGUAAAACCAGAAAAAAGAGUCACAUAGUCAUUUCCUAGUAACGAUGAUCAGACGUCAAACAAGAUGGUAGUGCAGGGGAUGAAAGGUUGAGUGAUCGUUCUCACCCUUUUCAGGAGAUCUCUCUUAAGUAGUUACAUUAUACAAGCACCGAGGACAUGCAUGCUUUUGAGAGAUGUAGGUUCAAUUACAUACCUUGUUGCUAAUAGUUUCAUGGAAUCAGCUGCAAAUGUAAUGUCUGAAAUGUAUUCUUCAUGUGCAUUAAAAGAAUGGGAGCAUGAGCGUUGUCUGGUAUCCCAUACCUGCAAGAUAGAUCUUCCAAGAUAAGGUGUUUGGAAAGGCGAACCAACACUUAAUUGAACUCUAUGGAUAUGGUUCUUGGCACAAUGAAGCAUACAUGGUGUGAUGGAGAUGCCACUAAUGUGAUCAGUUUCAUGGAAUAAAAGUAUCAACAUCAUAAAGGUUUAGCAGAAUUUUAACAUUAUAUGAUUCUAGCUUCUGUUAGUCACAAAACCGUUAUAGCAAAAAAAAUUCUGAUUGCAAUCUCAACAAGGCAUUCAAAAACCCCAAAGAAGCUCUAAAUUGUAUAUUAACUUAUUAAGUAUUGUUAUGGCAAAAACACUUGUGGUUUUGUCUGUCUUCAUAUUGCACCCAAAGAGUUAAAGAAAAUUGAAAAGGCAAGAGUGAUCAACAGUCCUCAUGAACAUGAAGGGGCAAUUUUUUUAAUGAAGAACAUGAAGGAGCAAUUUUCUAAUGAAGAACAUGAAGGAGCAAUAUUAACACACUAUAUAUUGAGAAGUAAGGAACUGAGGUUUGAACACUUCAAUGUUUUGUUACUUCCUCAAAAUUCCUUUUUACAGAAUAAGAAAAUGUAUGGUUCCAUGGAACUAGGUUUACAAGGUUGCUGACAAAACAGAGUAAAUUAUGAUGAUGGAAUCCAGAAAAUGCACAAAGCAGACCAACUUUUGCUACUUCCUUUUUAAAAAAGGAUAAUGGUGGUGUCCGACCCUUGUGCAUAGUGUGCACCUCAAAACUGUUGCUAUUUUCUACAGUAGUAAAUGAAGCAAUCGAAUAUAGUGUAACAAAAAGAAAAAAAACAUUAUCAAGCAUGGAAUGUUGACUAUUUUACUAGUUACUUCAGAUAUUCAAAUUUGAAGAUACAACCAAAAGGAUUUAUAUCUUCUGAUUCUCUAAUUAUCUAAGCCUUUUUUGGUCAGAAAACAAAAAUCAAUACACCAACUUUACCUUAAUGCAUCCUUCAUCGUCUCCGGAAGCAAUACUUGACUCAGUCAAAUUAACAAUUCGAUUAACAGCAGCCCUGAAUCCAGAGUGGCACUUGUUUGAGAACAUCUAACGAGCAAUACUUUAAUAAAUGCCUAAAUCAAAGCUGUUUCACUAACACUUAAUUUAUCCACUCACCCAUGGGAAUUCUCCAGGCGAACAAUUUCUGAGCCAGUCUCAAUGUCUGUUGCAAGAAUAGAACAAUCUGGAGAUCCCGUCACAAUUGCUGCACAUGUAUUCGAUUCAAGAAACAAAUCAAAUUAGCAAUAUAUCACUAAAUUGAAGCAAGAAGAAAAAGAAACUAAUGGAAAUAAUAGAAUCAAAAACAAAAUCUGUCUCAAGAGGACAUAAUCCCACCGAUAGAAAUCCUUAAUCUUUUGUUUACUAAGUCAAUGUAUAGGGUAUCAAUUAGCACAAUAGUAAAUACAGAAAUAUUUAUUCAAAUCACAGGCAACUAAAAGAGAACAACAGGGUAUGUUUGAAUAUAUUACCACGGCCCUCGUUGAUAAUCCGGACAGUUCUACAUGAUUCACUAUGAGCUUUUACUUCCAACAACCUAUAAUUGAACCAAUAUUUAAUUGCAUAAUUCUCCAUUAAUCAAAACCACCCAAAAUGAAUUGAAAGAAGAAAAAAAGGGAAAUUUAUCGGUACUUCUGAGCCGGAGAAUCAGCAUUGUAACGGUACCUGCAUGAGACAGAUAAAGUUCAUUAAUUUUUCUUUUGUUUGGAGCAGCUUAACACAUCAAAGCCAAUCAAUCAAUAAACUACAACUCCGGGAAAAACAAAAAGAAUAGUUACAAGAGAAGGUCGCCGGUGAUGAGUCCAGCAGCAACAAGGUGAUCGGAGGGAUGAAAAUCAAUGUCAAAUGGAAGCUUUCCAAGGUCUAUCUCCACGGCAGCCAUACUUCCCUGACAAGGGUUUAGGCUUAGGCUAGUGUAGGAUUUUUCACGUCUUUGCUCUUAAACCCUAAUUUCAGGGACUUGUUUGGACAGGAGAAAACAAUUUUUUUUUUGUUAUAGAAAGAAAUAUUUGUAUAAUACUUAACAAUUAUUUUUUUGUUAGAGAAAGAAAUAUUUGUAUAAUACUUACGGUCGUUUGGUAUAAGGAUUAGUGAUGUGAAAUUUAUUUUUAUAAAGUGCUCUUGGUUUAUUACUUCUCACAGAUAUUUGUUCAGAUUAAAACUUUACAAAAAAAUAUCUUUUCAGUUAUAUUUUUAAAUUAUUAUGAGAUUUUUUAUUUUAUAUAAUUGGAUCAAGAAAGAUAACUAUCGGACAAUAUUAAUUUUUUUUGUGGCCUUCUAAAUAGUUAGGAGUAAAAUAAUUUUAUUGUCAUCUUUGCUAUUUCUCACUUGAAUGGAUUAUUUAAGGGUAAAUAAUUGUCAUCUUAAUAAAUUGAUCAUUUACAAAAUAUUAAUUUUCAAUUUGAAAAAAAGAUAGAUCAUCUACUUCAAAAAUCGAAAAGAUGAUCAACGCUAGUAAAAUCGAAUAAAUUAAAUAAUCUAUGUUUACUCAUAAAAUUUGCAAAUUGUAAUUUAAUAUGUAAUGUAAGUUUAUAAAUGGUUCAAAAUAUAAAUAAUUAGAAAAUCACAUAUACACCACUAAAUAAUAUAUUUAGUUAAUAUCUCAAAUGUCAUGUGGUGAUUUAUUUGCUUUGAAUUUAUUUAGCAAUAAAUUAAAUAGCUCUCUCUAAAUAAUAAAUUUUGUAGGCUAAUUUGUUAAAUAAAUUUACUAGUAGAUAUAUGUAACGAUUCAGAAAAAAAAAUUAGUAUAUAAAUAAGAAUAAAUAGGUAUUUAAGGGCAUAAUGGUCCUUUCACGUUUUAAAUAAAUAAAUAAAAAUAGAUUUGUAUUUAUUUAUUUUAAAUUCUAUUUGACUAAUUCUUGAAUUAGUUUCCUAAUCCUAAUAGUUCUCUCUCUCACUUCUUAACUCUCUCUCACAGUCUCCAUCUUUCUCACGUUAUUCUGUCAAAUAUCAACAGUUCUUCACGCUUGAAGAACUCACAAAAAUUUUUAAAUAAAAGAAAAAAAAAGUAAUCAAAACGUCAAGCCUAAGAGACGUUCGUCGAGUGAGGUGUACGUUGAAGUGAAUUGGGAGUGGCUUGGAGGAGUUUUCCGAACAGCAACAUCAAAGUUUGAACAUCGAUUAAGGUAUGGGUUUCUUCUCUCUUGGUCCCUUUCCCAAGAGACCCCUUAAGGUUCAAGAUAUUCAUUCCGAAAACUAGGGUUGUUCCCUUUUGUAUGUCCUCGUCACUAGCUCCCAAUGAAUUUUAGGUUGGGUAUGAUUGCUGGUAGAUUUAGGUGUAUAUUAUGUUUUCGCGAUGAAUAUGAUUAUGUUGAUGUACUUGGAAUCGUAUGAAAGGCAACCAUCUUUUUCUUGAAAUUUUGUGUAAGUAUGUUACAGUGAAUGAGGUUCUCUAUGUAAUGCUCCAAAAGUUUAAUGUAAUACGUUGUAUAUUUUUUUGUGAAUAAAAUGGGGUAAGGCGUGAAGUUCAUAUGAAAUGUAGGUGGAUUGAUUGAAGGAGAAAUUCUUGGUUAGACGAGUCUAUAAAAAUGUAACUAAAACAUUAUGAAUAAAACCAUGAAAUCACCCCAAAAAUUAAUGUGAAAGUUAAUGAAAAAGUGCAGAAAAAUCAUGGAAUAAAUUUCCAGAACUUAGAAAUAGGCUUUAAAAGUAUCUGGAAAUUUUUGGACGUCAAAGAAAUAAAAAAAAAGGUUUUGGAGGCUGCAGGGAUCGAACCCAGGACCUCUCUGCAGCAAGCUUUAAAUUAAAAAAAAAAAUUGGCAGGGGGGAUCGAACCCUCACCCCUGCCUUCCGCGAAAAACAAAAGAAAAGGAAAAGAAGAGGGGGCUGGGGGGAUCGAACUCGCGACCCCCAGCUACGCGCGAAAAAAAAAAAGAAAAUGGGGCUGGAGGGGAUCGUACUCGCGACCCACUCCUCCCUCGCGAAAUGAAAAGAAAAAUUAAAGGGGAGGCGUGGGAUUCGAACCCACGACCUCCCAGUACGCGAAGAGAAGGGUUUUCAAAAGAAAAAAAAUAUUAAAAAUAAAGGGGUUGUGGGGGUUCGAACCCACCACCUCACAGUCCCCCUUCAGCGAAAUUGAAACAAAAAAAAUAAGGGAGACUGUGGGGGUUCGAACCCACAACCUCCCCAUUGUAGUGAACUUUGAGAUUUAAUUUAAAAUUCUAAUUAAAAUAGAAAAUUAAUUCUUUCAUGUAAAUAUGGAGAUUUAGUUUAGAAUUCUAAUUAAAAUAGAAAAUUAAUUCUUUCAUGUAAAUAUGGAGAUUUAAUUUAGAAUGGUAAUUAAAAUAGAAAAUUAAUUCUUUUAUGUAAAUAUUGAGAUUUACUUUAGAAUUCUAAUUAAAAUAGAAAAUUAAUUAUUUUAUAUAAAUAUUGAGAUUUACUUUAGAAAUCUAAUUAAAAUAGAGAAUUAAUUAUUUUAUAAAAAUGUUGAGAUUUAAUUUAGAGUUCUAAUGUUAUGAAUAUUAGAAAUAAAAUCAAUGAAAAAUAUAAAUGAUAUCCAAGUGAUUCAAGAUUUGGGUUCCCGUACACAAACCUCCGUAUUGAUACAUAAGUCAUACGUGAGUAAAAUAUUCAAGAAUAAUGUCAUCUACUUAGAUAAAAAAUUAAGAUCUUGGUAUAUAUACAAGAUACAUAAGUCUUGUAAUACAUAAUCUUAGGAAAAUAAAAAUCACUUAACGAACUACGAAUGAAGUCCCAUGGCUUGUAUGUAUAGACACAUAAGUCUAACAUACGUUCAAAAAUUAAGUGAACCUAAGAUGUACGUAGUGAAAUGAUGACUCUUAUGAGGGUUAAGUACGAAUGUAAGAUACGUUAAAUGGCCAAGUGCAUUGGCAUAUGAUGAGAUGAACUAUGAAAUGAAGAAAUGAACACUCACGUCAUAAGAGGUGAAUAACUAUGAAAAACAAAGGUGCUAAUAAUGAAGAAUGUGGUGACAAUCAUGAUGUGAGGCUAAUGUAUAUGAUGAGAGCAAUCUCAAAUGAGCCUAAGUAAAUGUUACCAAUACGUACUCACCAAUGAGAGUGUAAGAUAAUGAAGAGACCCAUCCCUAUGAACACUCUAAAUGAAAAAUAUUGAGUUUAAAACACUUAAUACUAAUGAUGAGAUGAGAAAUCAUCUAUUGAGCUAUGAUGUCCGCAUACUAGAAGCCAGCUUCCAUGAUGUAUGAGUUGAAUGUAAUGGAACUUUAUACCGAGCACCGAUAGGCUAGCUAUGAGGGGUGAUGUCUUCUUUCGGAAAGGGCGGAGGUUCACGUAACUCUCAUGAGAUGAGACUGUCUGGCUUGCCGGGUAUGGCUCUCCAUACAUCUCCUAGUCUUUGAACCUAUAUUGCCACUAUAGGGAUCUGGCGGGGUUAAAUUCCCAUAUACGCUAGCAUGUUAUUGAAUCGCUUUGGCCGGUGAUUCCACCUCUUUUUCAGUGUGGGAAAGACACUAGAUUUCAUGAUGCUCACAUGAUCUAUGUCGGUUAAAUUUAAAGUUCUCAAAGAAUGAAUGAGGUCAGCCUCAAAUAAAUCAUAUAAAGAAAUGAAUGAUGCUGAAGGUGUUAGGAUAGGAUAAUCAAGAGGUGAGCUAGAUUCAGGUAAUGACAUUAGGUUAUUCCUAAUCAUUGCACAGCAAACCCGAUGAAAGUCUUAAACUACAUCUUAGGUAUGACUGGUGUUCGCACUGACCUAUGAAUGAAUUGAAAUGAAAUACGUAUGAACGAAUGAAGCAGACUCUCUGUUUGCUAAUGAAGGCUCCCUAGUUGAGGUCCCAUAUGUUGAGCCCUCAUUUUGGAAAGUCUUAAGGUUAAGUCUAUGAUAAUAAGGUCUCAUGGUAUAUGAAUGAAUAAUAUGAAAGAAACUAUGUGUUAUAUGAAGAUAUUAUGUGUUGUAUGUCAUACGAUAACUAUAAUGAUGCAUGUCACCCUCAUGGCAUAACUUUCCCAAUCUCAAUUUGGCAAGUCCACUGACUUGACUUCCAAAAAUCAUGUUGUUAGGAAAGAGCUAUUCUUUCUCAUGCAUGUCCUUGGUGUGUGCUUGCAUAUAUCCAUACUUAGUACAAGUGUGUAUUAAUUCCAUACAAACAUUUACUUUUAGGUGCAGGCACAGAUGGACGGUAGAGCAACAGGUUCGUGAUUGCAGUUAUCCGGACGUCGGCAUUUAUCCGGAGUUUGGUAGGUCCUCAUGCUUCAAGGAUGCUACUGUUUUACAUUCUAGCGUAGUUUUUGAGUUGAGCUAGUGGAGCAUGUUCCACUAGCGUUUCUUUCCUGUUUUGGUUCAGACUUUGUAUUGGUGCUAUUUUGGCCGAUAUACAAUUAAUACUUAAUGAAUUAUUCCUUUCAGUUGCUUAUCUCUUAAAUGUUAGAUGGUUGAUGAUGAACGAUUAUGAAAUAUAAAGAAUGUUUAACAAGUAUGAUUAAGGAAAUCAAAAUUUUCAAAUUUUCCGCUAAAAUUAACCUAUGUAAAGUAAGAAUGACGUAACUAGGCUUGUUUGCGACCUCUGAGAGGUCAACGAUGCCGGUCUCGUCUAGGUCUAGAUUCCAGUCGUGACAAAGUUGGUAUCAGAGCGCUAGGUUAAAUUCCUAGAAUAAUGAGUUCACAUCAACCACAUUGAGCAGUUUCUAAGUCAUGAUAGUGAAGUGCACCACUAUCUUGGAUUAGAGACUGCAUGAUGCGUAGGAAAAACUUCCCUUCUUCUGAUCUUAUCGUGCUUUUCCUAAUGUUUGAAUUCUUGGUGUUAUGAACGUGUCUAACAUCAAUCCUUGUUGUUUUCAGAGAAUGAACACUUGGAGAACUAAGGGUCUGAGGACGGGAGCAGCAGCAGCUAGGGGUAAUCAAAAUCCACCCCAGGCUCCAGCUGA